Molecule: ribosomal RNA, 468 nt
Filed under: uncultured bacterium
Lineage: Bacteria
Description: partial 16S ribosomal RNA
Rfam family: Bacterial small subunit ribosomal RNA
Source: RNAcentral
GACGAACGCUGGCGGCGUGCUUAACACAUGCAAGUCGAACGGAAAGGCCCUGCUUUUGUGGGGUGCUCGAGUGGCGAACGGGUGAGUAACACGUGAGUAACCUGCCCUUGACUUUGGGAUAACUUCAGGAAACUGGGGCUAAUACCGGAUAGGAGCUCCUGCUGCAUGGUGGGGGUUGGAAAGUUUCGGCGGUUGGGGAUGGACUCGCGGCUUAUCAGCUUGUUGGUGGGGUAGUGGCUUACCAAGGCUUUGACGGGUAGCCGGCCUGAGAGGGUGACCGGCCACAUUGGGACUGAGAUACGGCCCUGACUCCUACGGGAGGCAGCAGUGGGGAGUAUUGCACAAUGGGCGGAAGCCUGAUGCAGCAACGCCGCGUGCGGGAUGACGGCCUUCGGGUUGUAAACCGCUUUCGCCUGUGACGAAGCGUGAGUGACGGUAAUGGGUAAAGAAGCACCGGCUAACUACGUG